UAAUACGUACUGGGCGAACGUUAUUCGGAAUCACUGGGCUUAAAGGGUGCGUAGGCGGCUUCUCAGGUCCGGUGUGAAAUCUUACGGCUCAACCGUAAAAUGGCGCUGGAAACCGGGAGGCUUGAGUGGGCUAGGGGUGUGUGGAACUUCCAGUGGAGCGGUGAAAUGUGUUGAUAUUGGAAGGAACGCCGGUGGCGAAAGCGACACACUGGGGCCUAACUGACGCUGAGGCACGAAAGCUAGGGUAGCGAACGGGAUUAGAUACCCCGGUAGUCCUAGCCGUAAACGCUGGGUACUAGUUGGGAGGGGCUUCGGUCUCUCCGGACGCAGAGAAAUCACUAAGUACCCCGCCUGGGGAGUAUGGUCGCAAGGCUG
Molecule: ribosomal RNA, 375 nt
Filed under: uncultured bacterium
Lineage: Bacteria
Description: bacterial SSU rRNA
Rfam family: Bacterial small subunit ribosomal RNA
Source: RNAcentral